This 505-nucleotide ribosomal RNA is filed under the name uncultured bacterium. RNAcentral describes it as "partial 16S ribosomal RNA". It matches the Rfam family "Bacterial small subunit ribosomal RNA", at positions 29 to 523 of the family's 1533-position model. The record is from RNAcentral.
AGUGAACGCUGGCGGUAGGCCUAACACAUGCAAGUCGAACGGCAGCACAGGAGAGCUUGCUCUCUGGGUGGCGAGUGGCGGACGGGUGAGGAAUACAUCGGAAUCUACUCUGUCGUGGGGGAUAACGUAGGGAAACUUACGCUAAUACCGCAUACGACCUACGGGUGAAAGCAGGGGACCUUCGGGCCUUGCGCGAUUGAAUGAGCCGAUGUCGGAUAGCUAGUUGGCGGGGUAAAGGCCCACCAAGGCGACGGUCCGUAGCUGGUCUGAGAGGAUGAUCAGCCACCCUGGAACUGAGACACGGUCCAGACUCCUACGGGAGGCAGCAGUGUGGAAUAUUGGACAAUGGGCGCAAGCCUGAUCCAGCCAUACCGCGUGGGUGAAGAAGGCCUUCGGGUUGUGAAGCCCUUUUGUUGGGAAAGAAAUCCAGCUGGCUAAUACCCGGUUGGGAUGACGGUACCCAAAGAAUAAGCACCGGCUAACUUCGUGCCAGCCGCCGCCGUAA